UGGGGAAUAUUGCACAAUGGGCGAAAGCCUGAUGCAGCAACGCCGCGUGAGGGACGACGGCCUUCGGGUUGUAAACCUCUUUUAGCAAGGAAGAAGCGAAAGUGACGGUACUUGCAGAAAAAGCGCCGGCUAACUACGUGCCAGCAGCCGCGGUAAUACGUAGGGCGCAAGCGUUAUCCGGAAUUAUUGGGCGUAAAGAGCUCGUAGGCGGUUUGUCGCGUCUGCUGUGAAAACCCGAGGCUCAACCUCGGGCCUGCAGUGGGUACGGGCAGACUAGAGUGCGGUAGGGGAGAUUGGAACUCCUGGUGUAGCGGUGGAAUGCGCAGAUAUCAGGAAGAACACCGAUGGCGAAGGCAGAUCUCUGGGCCGUAACUGACGCUGAGGAGCGAAAGGGUGGGG
Molecule: ribosomal RNA, 399 nt
Filed under: uncultured bacterium
Lineage: Bacteria
Description: partial 16S ribosomal RNA
Rfam family: Bacterial small subunit ribosomal RNA
Source: RNAcentral